UCUCCUGGAAACGGGUGGUAAUGCCGGAUGCUCCGCCCCCUCGCAUGGGGGGUCGGGAAGGCUUUUGCGGAAUGGGAUGGGGUCGCGUCCUAUCAGCUUGUUGGCGGGGCGACGGCCCACCAAGGCUUCGACGGGUAGCCGGCCUGAGAGGGCGACCGGCCACAUUGGGACUGAGAUACGGCCCAGACUCCUACGGGAGGCAGCAGUGGGGAAUAUUGCACAAUGGGGGGAACCCUGAUGCAGCGACGCCGCGUGCGGGAUGGAGGCCUUCGGGUCGUGAACCGCUUUUGAUUGGGAGCAAGCGUGAGUGAGUGUACCUUUCGAAUAAGCACCGGCUAACUACGUGCCAGCAGCCGCGGUAAUACGUAGGGUGCAAGCGUUGUCCGGAAUCAUUGGGCGUAAAGGGCUCGUAGGCGGUUCGUCGCGUCCGGUGUGAAAGCCCAUCGCUUAACGGUGGGUCUGCGCCGGGUACGGGCGGGCUUGAGUGCGGCAGGGGAGGCUGGAAUUCCCGGUGUAACGGUGGAAUGUGUAGAUAUCGGGAAGAACACCA
RNAcentral lists this ribosomal RNA (550 nucleotides) under uncultured Bifidobacterium sp. RNAcentral describes it as "bacterial SSU rRNA". It matches the Rfam family "Bacterial small subunit ribosomal RNA", at positions 146 to 711 of the family's 1533-position model. The record is from RNAcentral. Lineage: Bacteria; Bacillati; Actinomycetota; Actinomycetes; Bifidobacteriales; Bifidobacteriaceae.